CCUCUACUUCCUCCGUUCCAUAAUUCUUGUCGAAAUAUUACAUGAAUCUAGACAAUUUUUAGGAAUAGAUACAUCCAUUUUUGGGCAAAUUUGAGACAAGAAUUAUGGAACAGAGGGAGUACAUA
This is a non-coding RNA of Brachypodium distachyon (stiff brome), 125 nucleotides long. The record is from Rfam. Lineage: Eukaryota; Viridiplantae; Streptophyta; Magnoliopsida; Poales; Poaceae.